GACGAACGCUGGCGGCGCGCCUAACACAUGCAAGUCGAACGGAGCUGAGAGAAGCUUGCUUUUCUUAGCUUAGUGGCGAACGGGUGAGUAACGCGCGAGUAACCUGCCCUGGAGUGGGGGACAACAGUUGGAAACGACUGCUAAUACCGCAUAAGCCCACGAUCCGGCAUCGGAUUGAGGGAAAAGGAUUUAUUCGCUUCAGGAUGGACUCGCGUCCAAUUAGCUAGUUGGUGAGGUAACGGCCCACCAAGGCGACGAUUGGUAGCCGGACUGAGAGGUUGAACGGCCACAUUGGGACUGAGACACGGCCCAGACUCCUACGGGAGGCAGCAGUGGGGGAUGUUGCACAAUGGGGGAAACCCUGAUGCAGCGACGCCGCGUGGAGGAAGAAGGUUUUCGGAUUGUAAACUCCUGUCGUUAGGGACGAUAAUGACGGUACCUAACAAGAAAGCACCGGCUAACUACGUG
RNAcentral lists this ribosomal RNA (468 nucleotides) under uncultured bacterium. RNAcentral describes it as "partial 16S ribosomal RNA". It matches the Rfam family "Bacterial small subunit ribosomal RNA", at positions 28 to 507 of the family's 1533-position model. The record is from RNAcentral.